Molecule: ribosomal RNA, 251 nt
Filed under: uncultured bacterium
Lineage: Bacteria
Description: partial 16S ribosomal RNA
Rfam family: Bacterial small subunit ribosomal RNA
Source: RNAcentral
GCAAGUCGAACGCGGAAGCAACAGCUUGCUGGUGUGGAUGAGUGGCGAACGGGUGAGUAAUACGUGAGUAACCUGCCCUUGACGCUGGGAUAAGCCCGGGAAACCGGGGCUAAUACUGGGUGCUACAUGUCACCGCAUGGUGGUGUGUGGAAAGGGUUUACUGGUCUUGGAUGGGCUCACUGCCUAUCAGCUUGUUGGUGAGGUAAUGGCUCACCAAGGCGACGACGGGUAGCCGGCCUGAGAGGGUGACC